Long non-coding RNA from Cimex lectularius (bed bug), 588 nucleotides. RefSeq lists it as uncharacterized. NCBI's taxonomy places the organism in Eukaryota, Metazoa, Arthropoda, Insecta, Hemiptera, Cimicidae. The record is from RefSeq and is a predicted model, not a curated record. The transcript is spliced from 3 exons.
CGCCCAUUCCUUGAGGGUUAGGUCCGACUCGAAAUCCAUUUUCGGUCGGUAACAUCACUCCUCGGCUCGCCGUUGGUUCCUCUCGAGGAUUUCCUGGUGACUCGCCCGGGGAAAAACGCGGCUGACUCGUUUCACGUAGUAACCGGAGGAGCUGGAGUCGACUGACGGUCAGAACGAGGUUUCCUGCUGACAGAGGAGGUUGAACCGGCGACAGCUUUCGGCCCCGGCCGGCGAACAGCAGCACCGCACGGACCACCCGGCGCCGCGGCCGAGGCAACUUCUCAUCCGGUUCGCUCUUCAGGACAUUCCUUCUUCAGGUCCACCGACUCGACCUUCAGCACCGACUAGCCACUAAGACUAUAACGCAUGUGGGUGAGCUUUUGUCCGGCCGUUUUAAAGGGAUCGUUCAACUGUCACUAAUGGGAUUCGAUCCGAAACGUGGUUGUCGUUCAGAAACAGCGAAAAUAGAUUUAAAAAAUCGGACUUGGACGUGUUGUACUCGGAAGUCAUGAACUGAGAAAUGAGAGAUGUCUUUCCUACGGCGGAAGAGCCCAGCAUGACCACUUUGUAGCUGUUCUGACCCUCGUU